AGAUCAUUAAGAGAAAGAGAUAUGGACCUCACCUCUUCCUGAUACCCUCUGCAAGGAAGCUCUCCCUCCCUGCCUAGAGCUGAAGUACUCGCAUCAGGCAGAUGAAGAAAGGAGAGAUCCAGAGAGAAAAAUGACUACAGCGGAGAGGGCAGAUUUAACACCUUCUGGAAUACUCAGGCAUAUUCUCCGGUGUUCCAGUUUCAGUAACAAUGCUUCAUCAAUCCUGGACACCGCCAAAAACCAGUUAGACAUCCUGCCAUUUUACCAGGAAAUUUUGACAAACAUUGAAGAAUCUGACUGGAUAUCUCUUCCCCUCCCAGGUGAAGCAAGGCAAGUUUGAGCUGAGAGGGUAUGUGGUCCUCAAGUU
Long non-coding RNA from Ailuropoda melanoleuca (giant panda), 367 nucleotides. RefSeq lists it as uncharacterized. The transcript has 3 exons. Lineage: Eukaryota; Metazoa; Chordata; Mammalia; Carnivora; Ursidae. The record is from RefSeq and is a predicted model, not a curated record.